UAUAAUGGGUCAGCGACUUAUAUUCUGUAGCAAGGUUAACCGUAUAGGGGAGCCGAAGGGAAACCGAGUCUUAACUGGGCGUUAAGUUGCAGGGUAUAGACCCGAAACCCGGUGAUCUAGCCAUGGGCAGGUUGAAGGUUGGGUAACACUAACUGGAGGACCGAACCGACUAAUGUUGAAAAAUUAGCGGAUGACCUGUGGCUGGGGGUGAAAGGCCAAUCAAACCGGGAGAUAGCUGGUUCUCCCCGAAAGCUAUUUAGGUAGCGCCUCGUGAACUCAUCUUCGGGGGUAGAGCACUGUUUCGGCUAGGGGGCCAUCCCGGCUUACCAACCCGAUGCAAACUACGAAUACCGAAGAAUGUUAUCACGGGAGACACACGGCGGGUGCUAACGUCCGUCGUGAAGAGGGAAACAACCCAGACCGCCAGCUAAGGUCCCAAAGUCAUGGUUAAGUGGGAAACGAUGUGGGAAGGCCCAGACAGCCAGGAUGUUGGCUUAGAAGCAGCCAUCAUUUAAAGAAAGCGUAAUAGCUCACUGGUCGAGUCGGCCUGCG
This 552-nucleotide ribosomal RNA is filed under the name Enterobacter cloacae. Its description in RNAcentral is "partial 23S ribosomal RNA". It matches the Rfam family "Bacterial large subunit ribosomal RNA", at positions 611 to 1163 of the family's 2925-position model. Lineage: Bacteria; Pseudomonadati; Pseudomonadota; Gammaproteobacteria; Enterobacterales; Enterobacteriaceae. The record is from RNAcentral.